CCAAGCUCCCUCAGCCGCUCCCGGUGCUCCAACCCCUUCCCCAGCUCCACUGCCUUUCUCUGGACACAUACGGCCCAUUUUCAGUUUCCAGGGACAACAACCCACAAGAAGAACCAAAACGCGGUGGGAUUUUUGGGUUCCCCCCGACCCUUACUCUUACACUCCCCUCACCCCACCCGACACCCCCCCCCAGCAGCCGCCGGGGCCGCCCCGCCUGAGGCGGGUGGAGCGCUGAGGAGACGGACCCCGUGAGGAGGGGAACCGGCACCCGCAGCCGAGGAGAAGGAGGCACAGCUUUUGGGGAGAAAGGACGAGGCAAUGUCACCCAUUCAGCUUUCUGAACGAGCACAAAGCAUGGCCAGGAGCACCAUAACAGCACUAUUACGAUUACAGUCAAGAGACCAUUGUCCACACGGGCAUGGUGGAGCACGGGACCACAGCUGGAAGCCAGAGUGAGUUGGCAAACAUCUCGUUCCAACUUCUGCUGUGCCAUCUGGCUUCCAGUGAGCUUUUUCACAAGAAAGAAGGAAAGAGACGGCGAUGUGCUCAAAACCCAACAACAUGAACGCAAACAGAAGUAUGAGGAGUUUUGACUGUUCUUAAAGAGAAAAUUGGGAGUGAAUGGUCCAGCAUUUUGUGAAUAAUGCAGCGAGACAUCAGUACAAGGGGAUCACACAGCACAGGGCACAGCUCUGGAGCACGGGUUUCCAGCUGCAGACACUGCAACAGUGAUGUAUAUAGUCCAGUCUGUACACUGCAAUGUAUAAUGCAAGAGUUAUUUUAUCCACACUGACCUUGCUCUUUCCAGGAACUACAGCCUCCACAUCUUUGGCUGUUGUUGCCCUUGAAAAUUACCAGGAGCACUGGACAGAUAGUACAUAUUGGCUCUCCUUGUACUAAAUUUGAGGGCAUUUCUGCGUCACCAAUAGAAUAAAUUGUGCUAAAAGAGGUGUCAUACA
Molecule: long non-coding RNA, 959 nt
Organism: Pipra filicauda (Wire-tailed manakin)
Lineage: Eukaryota; Metazoa; Chordata; Aves; Passeriformes; Pipridae
Exons: 3
Source: RefSeq, a predicted model, not a curated record